GGCGACUCAGCAGCGGUGGCGACGGCGAUGUUCGGAUUUCGUUGACCGCUAUCCUGGCAAAUUUGAUCGGAUUCAUUGUCUUCCUUCUCAUUUCUCUCUCAUCGAGCGAGCUGGCGAGCUGUUACGCGAUGGGAUACCUCAAUUCGGCCUUGUCCAACACUAGCGGCACCAGGGCGGAGGAGUCUCCGGUCAGCGGCGGAGGUCUCAGCCAAAAUGGGAAGUUUAGCUAUGGGUAUGCUAGCUCUCCGGGUAAGAGGUCUUCGAUGGAGGACUUCUACGAGACGAGAAUCGAUGGUGUUGAGGGAGAGAUCGUUGGUCUUUUUGGAGUUUUUGAUGGCCAUGGUGGUGCUAGAGCAGCGGAGUAUGUUAAGCAGAACCUCUUUAGCAAUUUGAUCAGUCACCCGAAAUUUAUUUCUGACACCAAGUCUGCAAUAGCUGAUGCGUACACUCAUACUGACUCUGAGUUUCUGAAAUCCGAGAACAGUCAGAACCGUGAUGCUGGUUCGACUGCUUCGACUGCCAUCCUUGUCGGCGAUCGCCUUCUGGUUGCUAAUGUUGGGGAUUCUAGGGCUGUCAUAUGUAGAGGAGGAAA
RNAcentral lists this unclassified non-coding RNA (592 nucleotides) under Hevea brasiliensis (rubber tree). Lineage: Eukaryota; Viridiplantae; Streptophyta; Magnoliopsida; Malpighiales; Euphorbiaceae. The record is from RNAcentral.